This is a long non-coding RNA of Phodopus roborovskii (desert hamster), 1424 nucleotides long. RefSeq lists it as uncharacterized. The transcript has 2 exons. Lineage: Eukaryota; Metazoa; Chordata; Mammalia; Rodentia; Cricetidae. The record is from RefSeq and is a predicted model, not a curated record.
ACGGAAACAUGCUGAUUGGACCGAGAUGCCUGUAAAGGCGGAGCCACGAGAAAGGAAUGUGGUGGACAAGCCCGGGGAGGCGAAACUGAUGCGCGUAGCAAGGGGUCGGGUGUGCGUGGGCGUGGUCUGGGUAACCCGGCUUCUUCCUGGCAGUCCGCAGCAGCACCGUCUGUGAUGUCCCGGGGUCUUCCUCCUGCCGCCCGCGGUCUCGGUGUCUGUGUGAGCCGCGGCCCCCGACGGAACCCAUCUGUCCUCUCUCAGAGUGACAGAUGAUGGAGGCCGCCGCACUGGUGCAUGCGUUGCAUGGCUGAUCGGUGGUGCGGACCUUGGCGGUGCCCACCACAGCCCCAUGGCAGGCUCGUCUUCGACAAGGGCAAUUUCCAGGAGCUGACAGCUGAGUCGCCCCGCCCCCUCCGGUAGGACCGGUGGGCAGCAGAGCCGUGAUCAAACCUUGUACGAGUCCCGGGGACACAACUCCCACCGCUGGGGGAGACACAGGACAGGCCCAGCACUGACGGGUAGUAGGAGGGAACAGGAAGUGUCACUCACCUGGAGCAUUGUGGGUCCCCGUCCAGGUCCCUCACAAUAUCAGUCUGACCUCCAGAACCUGAUGCUUUCCGAAGCAUGCCCCCCCCCCCACACACACACACACACACACACACACACACACCACCGUGUUCCUGCCUAUGUAGGUCUCUGUAUGCAUGCUUGUGCUGCCCUCUCUAUGUGUGUGUGUCGUCUUCUGUGUACAUGUGUGUAGUCCUCUGUGUGUAGGAUGUGCAGCCCCGGGACAGCACACCUCUGAUGGAACCUUCUCUAUCCACCAAAGACCAAGGUAUGAUGGCAGCGUGUGCUAAGGGGGUCUGACACUGUGGUCGGCUGUGAGAACAGGACCUGCAGAGCCUCCACUCCUUUCUCCGAUCUUGGCCACAGGCCUGGGUCCCCUGACCUCCAUAUGCCCGCCUCUCUGUAAGAGGAGGGCUGCUUGGGUCAUGGAGGUCUUCGACAGAUUCUCCGACAUCCUGCACAUCUUCCUUGUCACGCCUGCCCACCGAGGAGGCCAGGCUGUAAUUGGCGCUGGCUGAAAUCCCCUUCCUCAGGUCUGCCUGGAGCAGCGACUCUGCCUGGCUAGACUAUGAAGGAAGAGGCUCCCCGUACAUCAUGGGGUCAGGUAAGGCUGCCAGCUGUCAUGUUGGGGAACACUAGUACCACGCUGACAGCCCCUCUCCCCACAGUGCAAGGAGGCUGCAAUGCAGCUGGUGCAGGAACUGCCCCAGACAGCGCUGCUCUCGUCACCAUUGUCAUCAGCCAGGCCACCAAUGGCAGGUUCUGGAAUCUGUUCCAUGAAGACCACUAAUAGUCCCUCCCCUUCCUCUCUCCCAGAAUGGUUGUCAGCUCAUUAAAGAAGGAUUUGCACUCUCUCA